UGACCACGAGACCGAUAGCAAACAAGUACCGUGAGGGAACGUUGAAAAAAACUUUGAAGAGAAAGUUCAAGAGUACGUGAAACCGUUCAGGGGUAAACCUGAGAAACCCAAAAGAUCGAAAGGAGAGAUUCAAUGUUAUCGUUUUAAUCCAUUUAUUGGCGUGCGAUUGACCGAGAUUCGUCCUGCGAUACGCCGUCGGUUUAUGCGUUAGGCGGCGAUGACAUGCACUUCUCUCUCAGUAGGACGUCGCGACCCGUUUGGUGUCUACCUACGACUGCGGCGGUAGUCUGUCACGAAUUUAUUCGCGUCACACCCCGCGUUCUCCGGUCGACUGCCAGACGGUAUAAACGAUAUGGUAUAGGGUCGCUUUUAAGCGUUUGGCCGGUUGCAAGCACAGACGGUUAUUGGCCGUCGAACCUGGUCCGGCAUCGAUGCCGCCUCGAACUGUUAGCUACCGUGUUCUCGGACGGACUCUGUUACCGGUCAGCGAUGCUAUUAACUUGGGUACUUUUAGGACCCUUCUUGAAACACGGACCAAGGAGUCUAGCAUGUGCGCGAGUCAUUAGAAAAUACAAAACCUAAAGGCGCAAUGAACGUAAAGUUUUGCUUAAGUGAACUGAGGGAUGACGGACCGCUUCAAUGGAUGCGUGCUUGCAAACCCGGGGCGUCUCACUCCCAUUGCGAAAGGUGAUGAACUAUGCCCGUUCAGGUCGAAGUCAGGUGAAACCCUAAUAGAGGACCGUAUCGAUUCUGACGUGCAAAUCGAGCGUCGGAACUGGGUAUAGGGGCGAAAGACUAAUAAAAGGUAGCCGAUUUCAUCCGAAGUUUCCCUCAGGAUAGCUGGCAUUCGAUGAGCGAGUCUCAUCCGUAAAGCAAAUGAUUCGAGGCCUUGGAGCCGAAACGACCUCAACCUAUUCUCAAAUUUUAAAUGGGUGAGAUAUCUGGCUUGCUUGAAUAGUGAAGCCAAAGAUUUAGAUAAGUGGGCCACUUUUGGUAAGCAGAACUGGCGCUGUGGGAUGAAUCAAACACCAAGUUAAGGCGCCUAAACGACGCUAAUGGGAUACCAUGAAAGGCGUUGGUUGCUUAAGACAGCAGGACGGUUGCCAUGGAAGUUGGAAUCCGCUAAGGAGUGUGUAACAACUCACCUGCCGAUGCAACUAGCCCUGAAAAUGGAUGACGCUGAAGCGUCGUGCCUAUACUCGGCCACCAGAACAUGAGGAGCGCUCAUUACUGUUCGUUUUGACGCCCUGGUCAGUAGGAGGGUCACGGUGGUGUGCGCAGAAGGGUUUGGGCGUAACCUUGCCUGGAGCCGCCAUCUGUGCAGAUCUCGGUGGUAGUAGCAAAUACUCCAGCGAGGCCCUGGAGGACUAACGUGGAGAAGGGUUUUGUGUGAACAGCCGUUGCACACGAGUCAGUCGAUCCUAAGACCCGGAAAAAAUCCUAUGUUGAUGUUGGUGUAUUUUAUUUUAAAUAAAAUCUUACACCCAUCGGGCGAAAGGGAAUCCGGUUCCUAUUUCGGAACCCGGCAGCGUAACCGUUUACAAGUCGGGGCCUCGAAGAGAGUUUGUCGGGGUAACCCAAAAUGAUCUGGAGAUACCGUCGGGAAAUACGGGGAGAGUUUUCUUUUCUGUAUGAGCGUUUGAGUUCCCUGGAAUCCUCUAGUAGGGAGAUAGGGUUUGGAACGCGAAGAACACCGCAGUUGUGGUGAUCAUGAGCUGAAUAUGAGACGAUACAUAUUAGAUUUACAUGAAUUUUCCAUAUUGCUAAAUGUGGGAUAAAUAUAAGCUAUAUAUGAUAUGUUUUACAUAUGAUUUUUCUAUAUUGCUGAAUGUGGGCGAUAUAUGAAACGCUGAAUAUGAGUUUUACAUGGUUUAUUCAUAUUGCUAAAUAUAAGCUGUGUAUGAGAGUACUAAUAUUGUAGGAUUUAGAAUAUAGAAUUAUUUACAUAAAAAUCAUUUAAGAUUUUGCUAAUAAAGAACGAAUGUGGAAUAUGUUUUUUCUUGU
Molecule: ribosomal RNA, 2004 nt
Filed under: Ctenocephalides felis (cat flea)
Lineage: Eukaryota; Metazoa; Arthropoda; Insecta; Siphonaptera; Pulicidae
Description: eukaryotic LSU rRNA
Rfam family: Eukaryotic large subunit ribosomal RNA
Source: RNAcentral